Molecule: ribosomal RNA, 253 nt
Filed under: uncultured bacterium
Lineage: Bacteria
Description: partial 16S ribosomal RNA
Rfam family: Bacterial small subunit ribosomal RNA
Source: RNAcentral
UACGUAGGUGGCAAGCGUUGUCCGGAGUUAUUGGGCGUAAAGCGCGCGCAGGCGGUGCGGUAAGUCUCUGGUGAAAGCGCUCGGCUUAACUGGGCGAGGGCCGGGGAGACUGCCACGCUGGAGGGGAGCAGAGGCGAGUGGAAUUCCGGGUGUAGUGGUGAAAUGCGUAGAGAUCCGGAGGAACACCAGUGGCGAAGGCGGCUCGCUGGGCUCUACCUGACGCUGAGGCACGAAAGCGUGGGUAGCAAACAGG